Molecule: long non-coding RNA, 226 nt
Filed under: Volvox carteri
Lineage: Eukaryota; Viridiplantae; Chlorophyta; Chlorophyceae; Chlamydomonadales; Volvocaceae
Description: long non-coding RNA (VCAR_LNC003231)
Source: RNAcentral
UUUUGAAGCUUGUAAAACAGCAAGUAAUUCCUGUUCCCCGGUGGUGUAACGGGUUUCAGCACCCGAAAACUCCCUACUCGUAAAAGCCACAGGACGGCAACAGAACAGCACCGGAUCCGUAAAGAGAAGCGUCAGUCACUACCUCAACACGGAAUGGCAACGAGUAUUCGGGAAAAUGCAGGAUAAGGUCGUCAGCGACUGAGGAGGGUAGGAUCCGGGCUGGAAU